GAUGAACGCUAGCGGCAGGCCUAAUACAUGCAAGUCGAACGGGACUUGGUAGCAAUACCAAGUUCAGUGGCGCACGGGUGCGUAACGCGUAUGCAACCUACCUUAAACUGGGGGAUAGCC
RNAcentral lists this ribosomal RNA (120 nucleotides) under uncultured bacterium. RNAcentral describes it as "partial 16S ribosomal RNA". It matches the Rfam family "Bacterial small subunit ribosomal RNA", at positions 28 to 148 of the family's 1533-position model. The record is from RNAcentral.